This 443-nucleotide ribosomal RNA is filed under the name uncultured bacterium. Its description in RNAcentral is "partial 16S ribosomal RNA". It matches the Rfam family "Bacterial small subunit ribosomal RNA", at positions 338 to 795 of the family's 1533-position model. The record is from RNAcentral.
CCUACGGGGGGCAGCAGUGGGGAAUAUUGGGCAAUGGGCGCAAGCCUGACCCAGCAACGCCGCGUGAAGGAAGAAGGCUUUCGGGUUGUAAACUUCUUUUCUCAGGGACGAAGCAAGUGACGGUACCUGAGGAAUAAGCCACGGCUAACUACGUGCCAGCAGCCGCGGUAAUACGUAGGUGGCAAGCGUUAUCCGGAUUUACUGGGUGUAAAGGGCGUGUAGGCGGGAAAGCAAGUCAGAUGUGAAAACCAUGGGCUCAACCUGUGGCCUGCAUUUGAAACUGUUUUUCUUGAGUACUGGGGAGGCAGACGGAAUUCCUAGUGUAGCGGUGAAAUGCGUAGAUAGUAGGAGGAACACCAGUGGCGAAGGCGGUCUGCUGGACAGCAACUGACGCUGAGGCGCGAAAGCGUGGGGAGCAAACAGGAUUAGAUACCCGUGUAGUC